GUUACUUCAUGGUUGCUCAACUCUCUCUCCAGGGAAAUUGCUGAUAGUGUGAUUUACUCCAGAUCUGCUAGAGAACUUUGGCUCAGCUUGGAGCAUCGAUUUGGUCAGUCAAAUGGUGCUAAACUCUUUCACCUGCAAAAGGAAUUAAGCAGGUUAGUUCAGGGAAACAAUAACAUAGCAGGAUAUUUCACUAAUCUUAAAAGACUCUGGGAUGAACUAGACUCUUUAAAUUCAAACAUCAAAUGUUCAUGUGUGUGUGUCUGUCAAGGAAAACAUAAAAUGGAGAAAUCUAUGGAGGAUGAAAAGCUUAUUCACUUCCUUAUGGGGCUCAAUGACACUUAUGCUCAGGCUAGAGGAAACAUCUUAAUGAUGAAUCCACUUCCUGACAUCAACAUUGCAUACUCCUUGAUCUUGCAAGAUGAAAAUCAGAGGGAGACUUACAUGAGUCCUUUUAUGCCCUCUGAUUCAUCAUCUUUCAUGGUGAAUAGUAACAUGAAUCAGCAUAGAGGAAGGCAGCCUCAACAAUUCACUGGUAACACAUUCAGAUCUGGAAAUACAUAUCCUAGAAAUGACAACUCACAAGGCUCACAGAAACCUCAAAAACAGUUUCAGAAAUUCAAAGGAAAAAAAGGAAAAUAUGAUCCUAAUGCAAACUGCACCCACUGUGGAAAGAAUGGACACUUGAAGUUGAACUGUUAUAGAUUGAUUGGGUUUCCAGAAGACUUUCAGUUUACAAAUGAAAAGGGAAGUCAUGGUCAAAUAAGAGGAAAUGCAGUGGUCAACAUGGAAGAGGCAGAAGUUGGAUCCACUACUCAUGCUAUCAAUCAACAUUUCACUCAGGAACAAAUCAAUUUUCUGUUUCAAAAUGGGAAAGAGCUACUUCAAGCUUUCACACAGAUGAAGGUGGAAGAUAAGACCAACUUCUCAAAUGCUUCUGAGAUCAAUGCAAAUGUUGUAGCUGGUACACUAAUGAAGUAUUUUGGUUCCUGUUUCUCUGUUUUCAAUUCAAAUACAUGGAUUGUAGACUCGGGUGCUUCAGAACAUACGUGUUUUAAUCCUGAUUCUUUCUUAUCUAUGUCCCCCCUUACAGUUCCUCUAAACAUCAAUCUUUCUAAUUCAGAAUCUAUCAAUGUUACUCAUACUAGUGUUGUAUGUUUGUUUUCUGACCUAAUUCUGACUAAUGUCAUCUAUGUUCCUAGUUUCAAAUAUAACUUACUAUCAGUUCAUAAGUUAUGUUGUCAAUUCAACCUUUCAAUCUUUUUCACUUCUAAUGAAUGUCUACUGCAGGGCCUUUCCAUGAAGAAUCCUCAAGUUUUUGGUAAGGCUAAGGAGGGUCUCUACUUGCUUCAGCCAAAUCCUAAGAAGUCUAUUCUUCAGUCAACUGAUUCCCAAUCUGUUUCUUUUCCUUUUUCUGUUUGUUCUAGUGCACUUUCUGAUGUAAAGUUGUGGCACAUUAGACUUGGGCAUCUGCCUUUAACAUCAAUGAAAAAUGUCAGUUUCAUUUCUGUUCCUUCUAGUCUUGAUUGUUAUUGUGAUAUUUGUCCACAAGCUAGGCAAUCUAGGCUUCCCUUUCCUAUCAGUCUUAAUAAAUCUAAAUCCAAGUUUGAGUUAAUUCAUGUUGACACCUGGGGGCCUACAAGGUACCAACUUAUAAUCAUCAUAAAUAAUUUCUUACUAUAGUUGAUGACUAUAGCAGGGCUACUUGGGCAUAUCUAUUGGCUAGUAAGAGUAACUCGUUUCAUGCUUUGCAGUCUUUUAUAUAAAUGGUGCACAAAUAGUUUGAUGCAAAGGUAAAGAUAGUGAGAUCAGAUAAUGCUCUUGAGCUAGGGAAAAGUGAAGCAGGUCUCUGUUUCUUCAACUCCCUUGGCAUAAUUCAUCAGACCUCUUGUGUUGCUUCCCCUCAACAAAAUGGUAUUGUUGAAAGGAAGCACAUACAUCUACUUGAGACUGCCAGGGCACUUAUGUUUCAAUCAAAAGUUCCUAUGAUUUAUUGGGGAGAGUGUAUCUUAACAGCUACUUUUCUUAUUAACAGGUUCCCAUCCAAAGUUCUUGAUGGCAAGACACCUUUUGAAUUGAUUUUUGGGGAAACCCCUUCUUAUCAUUUCUUAAGACAUUUUGGUUGCUUAUGUUAUGCUAAUACUUUGAGUCAGGGGAGAGGUAAGUUUGACUCAAGGGCCAGAAGUUGUGCACUUCUGGGCUAUCCUAUAAAUCAGAAAGGUUACAAGUUAUUGGACUUGCAUACUAAAAAGAUUUUCAUCUCUAGAGAUGUGCAUUUUGUUGAGCAUAUCUUUCCUUUUGCUACUGCACAGUACGUUCCUCCUAUUUUUUCAAAACAUCUUAUUGAUUCUGAUUUUUUUUCUUCUCCAUCUACUCCUCAGACUUCUACCUCUCCUAUUUUUCCUUCUUUGGAUCCAAUUUUGGUAUCCUCUCCUCCUUCUAACCUAUCUGAACCUGCUGUGGCUUCUCCCACCCCUGUUCCUCCUCUCAGAAGGUCCUCUAGGUCUAUAUUAGGGAAAACUCCUUCUCAUCUGCAAUCUUAUAACUCUUACUGAUGUCACCCAUUCCUGUUUCUCAUCUACUCACACCCCUUCCACUAUUUCUGUUCAUACUCUUUCUCAACCUAAUCAAACCACCAUUCACAACACCUCUCAUAUCUUAAAACCUACCAGUUAUGCACAAGCUUGUUCUCAUCCAGGUUGGCUGCAAGCCAUGGCUGCUGAACUUGAAGCUUUGCAAUCCAACUACACUUGGGAUGUGGUUCCUUUGCCUCAUGGUCGAAAAGCUUUACCUUGUAAGUGGGUUUACAAAGUUAAGCAACAUGUUGAUGGUACUUUGGAAAGAUUGAAGGCCCGAUUGGUUGUGAGAGGUGACAUACAACAACAUGGGAUUGAUUUCACUGAAACCUUCUCCCCUGUUGUUAAGAUGACCACUAUUAGAUGUUUGUUGGCUAUUGCAGCCAAGAAAUCUUGGGACAUUUUUCAAUUUGAUGUCAAUAAUGCAUUUCUUCAAGGUGAUUUACAAGAGGAGGUUUAUAUGAAAUUUCCUACAGGUUUGGUUCCUCCUCAACCUAAUAUGGUUUGCAAACUUCGCAAGUCUCUCUAUGGUCUUAAACAGGCUUCUCGGCAGUGGUAUGCCAAACUUGCCGGAGCUCUCACUUUUAAGGGUUUCACUGCCUCCCUCAAUGACUAUUCUUUAUUCUUCAAGAGGACAGGUUCUCUUACUACUAUUAUUGCCGUCUAUGUGGACGACAUCCUUAUUACGGGUGAUGAUCACCAAGAAAUCUCUGCUCUUAAGUUAUUUCUUCACUCAGAAUUUAAGAUCAAGGACCUUGGUCUUUUACACUAUUUUUUAGGCCUGGAAAUCUUAAUGGAACCACAUGGUAUUAUCAUCAGUCAAAGGAAAUAUACCUUGGAGCUUCUACAGGAGUUUGAUGUAGCUCAUCUUCCACCUGUUUCUUCUCCUUUGGAUCCAUCUGUCAAAUUACUUGCAGAUUCAGGGGAUUUCAUGACAAAUCCUACACUAUACAGACAUCUCAUCGGCAAACUUUAACUAUUUGACUCAUACCCGUCCCGAUUUGUCUCAUUCCGUUUUGAUUCUCAGUCAGUUUAUGUAAAAGUCGUGCCUGUCACAUUAUGAUGCUGCUUUGAGAGUGGUGAGUUACCUGCAGCAUUGCCCUAUUCAAGGUUUGUUCAUGUCUCUUUCAUCUUCAUUUUCCCUCCAAGCUUUUUGUGAUGCCGACUGGGCGUCCUGUCGGGAUACAAGGAGGUCGAUCAGUGGGUUUUUUUAUCAAUUUGGGCGGUUCAUCCAUUUCUUGGAAAUCUAAGAAAUAGGCCUCUGUUUCCCUCUC
RNAcentral lists this long non-coding RNA (3847 nucleotides) under Solanum tuberosum (potato). RNAcentral describes it as "long non-coding RNA (STUB_LNC002956)". Lineage: Eukaryota; Viridiplantae; Streptophyta; Magnoliopsida; Solanales; Solanaceae. The record is from RNAcentral.